UACGUAGGGGGCAAGCGUUGUCCGGAUUUAUUGGGCGUAAAGAGCUCGUAGGCGGUCUGUCGCGUCGGCUGUGAAAACUCGGGGCUCAACCCCGAGCCUGCAGUCGAUACGGGCAGACUAGAGUGCUGUAGGGGAGACUGGAAUUCCUGGUGUAGCGGUGAAAUGCGCAGAUAUCAGGAGGAACACCGGUGGCGAAGGCGGGUCUCUGGGCAGUAACUGACGCUGGAGGAGCGAAAGCCGUUGGGGAGCGAACAGG
This 256-nucleotide ribosomal RNA is filed under the name uncultured bacterium. RNAcentral's name for it is "partial 16S ribosomal RNA". It matches the Rfam family "Bacterial small subunit ribosomal RNA", at positions 524 to 776 of the family's 1533-position model. The record is from RNAcentral.